AUUCCAGCUCCAAGAGCGUAUAUUAAAGUUGUUGCAGUUAAAAAGCUCGUAGUUGGAUUUCUGGUACAAUGCGCCUGGCCCGCUGCAAUUAGCAUGUGUGUGUCGGUGCGCGUUUGCCAUCCUUCUAGAAAACGUUUCUACCAUUAACUUGGCCGGACUCGCGAUCUAGAUCUUUUACUUUGAAAAAAUUAGAGUGUUUAAAGCAGGCUUUUGCUAUGAAUACAUUAGCAUGGAAUAAUAAUCUAGGACUUCGGUUCUAUUUUGUUGGUUUCUAGUACUGAAGUAAUGAUUGAUAGGGAUAGUUGGGGGUGCUAGUAUUGACCGGCCAGAGGUGAAAUUCUUGGAUUCGGUCAAGACUAACUUAUGCGAAAGCAUUCACCAAGGAUGUCUUCAUUA
Molecule: ribosomal RNA, 396 nt
Filed under: Protaspa sp.
Lineage: Eukaryota; Cercozoa; Thecofilosea; Cryomonadida; Protaspidae
Description: partial small subunit ribosomal RNA
Rfam family: Eukaryotic small subunit ribosomal RNA
Source: RNAcentral